RNAcentral lists this ribosomal RNA (253 nucleotides) under uncultured bacterium. Its description in RNAcentral is "partial 16S ribosomal RNA". It matches the Rfam family "Bacterial small subunit ribosomal RNA", at positions 524 to 776 of the family's 1533-position model. The record is from RNAcentral.
UACGGAGGGCGCGGGCGUUAAUCGGAAUUACUGGGCGUAAAGGGCCCGUAGGCGGUGGGUUACGUCUGCCGUGAAAUCCCCGGGCUCAACCUGGGAAUGGCGGUGGAAACGGGCUGACUGGAGUAUGGGAGAGGGUGAUGGAAUUCCAGGUGUAGCGGUGAAAUGCGUAGAGAUCUGGAGGAACACCAGUGGCGAAGGCGGUCACCUGGCCCAAUACUGACGCUGAGGCGCGAAAGCGUGGGGAGCUAACAGG